Marasmius tenuissimus is the source of this 99-nucleotide non-coding RNA. The record is from the annotation of a GenBank genome assembly. Lineage: Eukaryota; Fungi; Basidiomycota; Agaricomycetes; Agaricales; Marasmiaceae.
GCAACUAUGGUGUAGCGGUUAGCACGGCAUGGCAGUAUCACGCUCGGAGUUUCGGAACAUGUAACCAUGCAGGCUUGGGUUCGAUCCCCGAUGGUUGCG